AGCAGCCGCGGUAAUUCCAGCUCCAAUAGCGUAUAUUAAAGUUGUUGCAGUUAAAAAGCUCGUAGUUGAAUUUCGGGGUCAGCAAGUUGGUCGUGCCACUGGUAUGCACUGGCUUUGCUGAUUCCUCCUUCCUGAAGAACUGUAAUGCUAUUAAUUUAGUGUUGCAGGGAAACAGGACUGUUACUUUGAAAAAUUAGAGUGUUUAAAGCAGGCUAACGCUUGAAUACAUUAGCAUGGAAUAAUGAAAUAGGACGUUUGAUCCUAUUUUGUUGGUUUCUAGGAUUGACGUAAUGAUUAAUAGGGGUAGUUGGGGGCAUUAGUAUUCAAUUGUCAGAGGUGAAAUUCUUGGAUUUAUUGAAGACUAACUACUGCGAAAGCAUUUGCCAAGGAUGUUUUCAUUAAUCAAGAACGAAAGUUAGGGGAUCGAAGACGAUCAGAUACCGUCGUAGUCUUAACCAUAAACUAUGCCGACU
Molecule: ribosomal RNA, 473 nt
Filed under: uncultured Glomus
Lineage: Eukaryota; Fungi; Glomeromycota; Glomeromycetes; Glomerales; Glomeraceae
Description: SSU rRNA
Rfam family: Eukaryotic small subunit ribosomal RNA
Source: RNAcentral